UCCCUCAUUCCCAUACUUCAGUUUUCCUUACCUCUAGAGCCCCUGAGCAGUAGCUCAUAUGUUCUCCUUUUCCUUUUAGACAAUUCCUCCUCGCUUCAAGAAGAUGAAGAAGUAGAGAUGGAGGCCAUCAGCUGGCAGGCCAGCAGUCCAGCCAUGAAUGGGCACCCUGCCCCUCCAGUGACCUCUGCUCGUUUUCCCAGCUGGGUCACCUUUGAUGACAAUGAAGUCAGCUGCCCUUUACCACCAGUCACCUCUUCUCUGAAGCCAAAUACACCACCAAGUGCAUCUGUGAUCCCAGAUGUACCUUAUAAUUCAAUGGGAUCAUUUAAGAAGAGGGACCGUCCCAAGAGCACUUUGAUGAACUUCUCCAAAGUUCAGAAACUGGACAUUUCCUCUUUAAACCGCAUGCCUUCUGUAACUGAAGCUCCACCUUGGAGGGCAACCAACCCUUUCCUGAAUGAGACUCUGCAGGAUGUACAGCCCUCCCCUAUCAACCCUUUCAGUGCUUUCUUUGAGGAGCAGGAGAGGCGCUCCCAAAACAGUUCCAUUUCCAGUACCACUGGCAAAAGCCAAAGAGAUUCCCUCAUUGUCAUCUACCAGGAUGCCAUCAGUUUUGAUGAUUCAAGCAAAACCCAGUCACACUCUGAUGCUGUUGAAAAACUCAAACAACUCCAAAUUGAUGACCCUGAUCACUUUGGCAGUGCAGCUCUACCUGAUGAUGACCCAAUAGCCUGGAUUGAACUAGAUGCUCACCCGCCUGGAUCAGCACGGUCCCAGCCUCGUGACGGGUGGCCAAUGAUGUUGAGGAUCCCUGAGAAGAAAAACAUCAUGUCCUCCAGGCACUGGGGACCGAUCUACGUCAAACUGACAGACACUGGUUACCUGCAGCUGUAUUAUGAGCAGGGCCUAGAAAAACCAUUCCGUGAGUUCAAGCUAGAGAUCUGUCAUGAGAUUUCAGAACCCCGGCUUCAAAACUAUGAUGAGAAUGGCAGAAUCCACAGCUUGCGGAUAGACCGUGUCACCUAUAAAGAGAAGAAGAAAUACCAGCCCAAACCUGCUGUGGCCCACACAGCAGAGAGGGAACAGGUGAUUAAGCUGGGCACUACCAAUUACGAUGACUUCCUGAGUUUCAUCCAUGCAGUUCAGGACCGUCUCAUGGAUCUGCCAGUGUUGUCAAUGGACUUGAGCACAGUUGGCCUCAACUACCUUGAAGAGGAGAUUACAGUGGAUGUCAGAGAUGAAUUCUCUGGCAUUGUGAGCAAAGGAGGCAACCAGAUUCUCCAGCACCAUGUCUUGACACGGAUCCACAUCCUGAGUUUCCUGUCUGGGCUCGCAGAGUGCCGCCUGGGCCUCAAUGACAUCCUCGUCAAAGGGAAUGAAAUAGUUUUGAGGCAGGACAUCAUGCCCACCACCACCACAAAGUGGAUCAAGCUCCAUGAGUGCCGUUUCCACGGGUGUGUGGAUGAGGAUGUUUUCCACAACUCACGGGUCAUUCUGUUCAACCCUUUGGAUGCGUGCCGGUUUGAGCUAAUGCGGUUCAGGACAGUGUUUGCUGAGAAGACCUUGCCUUUCACACUCAGGACGGCCGCAAGUGUCAAUGGGGCAGAGGUGGAGGUGCAGAGCUGGCUGAGGAUGUCAACUGGCUUCUCCGCCAAUCGUGACCCCCUCACUCAGGUUCCCUGUGAGAAUGUGAUGAUCCGUUACCCUGUGCCCAAUGAGUGGGUGAAAAACUUCCGCAGGGAAAGUGUCCUGGGGGAAAAGUCUUUGAAAGCCAAAGUGAACCGGGGGGCAAGUUUUGGCUCCACUAGUGUUUCUGGCUCUGAGCCUGUCAUGAGAGUAACUCUGGGAACUGCCAAGUACGAGCAUGCCUUCAACUCCAUUGUGUGGAGGAUAAACCGACUGCCCGACAAAAACUCAGCUUCCGGUCACCCACACUGUUUCUUUUGCCACCUUGAACUCGGCUCUGACCGGGAAGUGCCUUCCAGAUUUGCCAAUCACGUGAAUGUCGAGUUCAGCAUGCCCACAACUUCUGCCUCCAAAGCCAGCGUGAGAUCUAUGUCUGUAGAAGACAAGACUGACGUCAGGAAGUGGGUCAAUUAUUCUGCACACUACAGCUACCAGGUAGCCUUGGGAAGCAUCUGGCUAAUGCUUCCAACUCCAUUUGUUCACCCCACUACCCUCCCCCUCUUAUUCCUUUUAGCCAUGCUUGCUAUGUUCGCCUGGUAACCUCUUACUGCCUUAGAGGAAGUUCACUAUACAUAGCUGUGGAUGUGUCUGCUCUGAUUUAAAUGCAUAAUCUGGCUAGUGGAUGAGAGAAAGGUUGGAGAAAAAUAAAGAGGCUCAUCAAAGAGAAUAUAAU
This 2359-nucleotide small RNA is filed under the name Pongo abelii (Sumatran orangutan). RNAcentral's name for it is "retained intron". Lineage: Eukaryota; Metazoa; Chordata; Mammalia; Primates; Hominidae. The record is from RNAcentral.